Molecule: ribosomal RNA, 498 nt
Filed under: uncultured bacterium
Lineage: Bacteria
Description: partial 16S ribosomal RNA
Rfam family: Bacterial small subunit ribosomal RNA
Source: RNAcentral
GAUGAACGCUGGCGGCGUGCCUAAUACAUGCAAGUCGAACGGUAACAGGUCUUCGGAUGCUGACGAGUGGCGAACGGGUGAGUAAUACAUCGGAACGUGCCCGAGAGUGGGGGAUAACGAGGCGAAAGCUUUGCUAAUACCGCAUACGAUCUCAGGAUGAAAGCAGGGGACCGCAAGGCCUUGCGCUCACGGAGCGGCCGAUGGCAGAUUAGGUAGUUGGUGGGAUAAAAGCUUACCAAGCCGACGAUCUGUAGCUGGUCUGAGAGGACGACCAGCCACACUGGGACUGAGACACGGCCCAGACUCCUACGGGAGGCAGCAGUGGGGAAUUUUGGACAAUGGGCGCAAGCCUGAUCCAGCCAUGCCGCGUGCAGGAUGAAGGCCUUCGGGUUGUAAACUGCUUUUGUACGGAACGAAAAGACUCCUUCUAAUAAAGGGGGUCCAUGACGGUACCGUAAGAAUAAGCACCGGCUAACUACGUGCCAGCCGCCGCUGUAA